RNAcentral lists this transfer RNA (65 nucleotides) under Lepidostoma inops. RNAcentral describes it as "tRNA-Phe". Lineage: Eukaryota; Metazoa; Arthropoda; Insecta; Trichoptera; Lepidostomatidae. The record is from RNAcentral.
AUUUAAAUAACUUAUACAGAGUGUGAUAUUGAAGAUGUCAAAGAGAUUUAAAUAAUCUUUAAAUA